CUGCCAGUAGUCAUAUGCUUGUCUCAAAGAUUAAGCCAUGCAAGUCUGAGUAUAAUUGUUUUUACGGUGAAACUGCGAAUGGCUCAUUAAAUCAGUUAUAGUUUAUUUGAUGCUAUAGACCGCAAGGUCACUACAUGGAUAUCUGUAGUAACAUAGAGCUAAUACAUGCAAUAUAGUCUGACUUUUUGGAAGGACUAGCACUUAUUAGAUAUUAAACCAGUCCCAGCAAUGGGUUUUUGGUGAUUCAUAGUAACUGAACAAAUCACAUGGUCUUGUACCGGUGAUGUUUCAUUCAAAUUUCUGCCCUAUCAACUAGAUGGUAGUAUAUAGGGACGUACCAUGGUUGUAACGGGUAACGGAGGAUUAGGGUUUGGAUUCCGGAGAAGGAGCAUGAGAAACGGCUACUAUUUCUAAGGAAAGCAGCAGGCGC
This 430-nucleotide ribosomal RNA is filed under the name uncultured eukaryote. RNAcentral describes it as "SSU rRNA". It matches the Rfam family "Eukaryotic small subunit ribosomal RNA", at positions 14 to 435 of the family's 1831-position model. The record is from RNAcentral.